CAAACAAAAAAAAAAAAGAAAAAAGGCCCGUAUCAUUCACGAGAUAACAAAACACUCACCAGGGGCUCCAUUGAAGGGGAGGAAAGAAAGAAAAAAAAUACAGCCGUUCGUUUGUGGCACUGAACUGAACUCUCAACUGCCCGGAAAACGCCGCCGCAGCUGCUCAUCGGCCUCUCUAGAAGCGCUUUCUUUUCAAGCCAAUGACGAAUAAGAAAUCCCCAACGACCCCGAAAAAGUUGCAAGAGAAUAAUGCCAUUAAGGAAGAGCCAAAGCCUUCUUCUGCACCAAAAAAAACAGUUAGUGAAAUUGACGAAAUAUUCGCUGGGAAAAAGAGAAAGAAAUCUGAUGUGAAAAAGACUGGAAAAGCCCGUGAAGCAACUAAAAGUAAUGAUAAAACUAACAAGAAGAAACCAAAACGGCUAGAUGAGAGUGAGUUUGUGGACCGGCCUUCUCGAUCAAGAAAGAAAACAGAAGAUGGGCUUACCAUCUAUACGGAAGAGGAGUUAGGUCUUAGUAAAGGGGAUGCUGGAAAUACCCCGUUGUGUCCAUUUGAUUGUUCUUGCUGCUUUUGAUGGAAGCUUCAUAAUGGUUUUUGAACUCAUUUCCUUGAUCCAAUGGACGAAGUUGUUGUGAUUGUAUUACAUGCUUUAUUAUAUUUAUAGUUGGGCCAAUUAAUUUCAAUUUGGCAACUGUUUUAGUUCAGCUCUUAUAGGAUUCAUCCCCUUGAAACGGAAUUGUUCAUGUGUAAUGUCUCUGCGAGACGGUUUGGUUAGAAAAUGGAAGAAAUGUUUUGGUGUGGUUGAAUGAUGUUAUAGUUUGUCUUUCUUCUA
Molecule: long non-coding RNA, 830 nt
Organism: Medicago truncatula (barrel medic)
Lineage: Eukaryota; Viridiplantae; Streptophyta; Magnoliopsida; Fabales; Fabaceae
Exons: 2
Source: RefSeq, a predicted model, not a curated record